RNAcentral lists this ribosomal RNA (301 nucleotides) under uncultured bacterium. RNAcentral describes it as "partial 16S ribosomal RNA". It matches the Rfam family "Bacterial small subunit ribosomal RNA", at positions 509 to 807 of the family's 1533-position model. The record is from RNAcentral.
CAGUAGCCGCGGGAAUACAGAGGGUGCGAGCGUUAAUCGGAUUUACUGGGCGUAAAGCGUGCGUAGGCGGCUUUUUAAGUCGGAUGUGAAAUCCCUGAGCUUAACUUAGGAAUUGCAUUCGAUACUGGGAAGCUAGAGUAUGGGAGAGGAUGGUAGAAUUCCAGGUGUAGCGGUGAAAUGCGUAGAGAUCUGGAGGAAUACCGAUGGCGAAGGCAGCCAUCUGGCCUAACACUGACGCUGAGGUACGAAAGCAUGGGGAGCAAACAGGAUUAGAUACCCCGGUAGUCCCUGUCUCUUAUAC